UUUGAAUAUGGCUCAGGACGAACGCUGGCGGCGUGCUUAACACAUGCAAGUCGAACGAUGAAGCCUAGCUUUGCUAGGUGGAUUAGUGGCGAACGGGUGAGUAAUACGUGAGUGACCUACCUUUGACUCUGGGAUAAGCCUGGGAAACUGGGUCUAAUACCGGAUACGACCAAUCUCCGCAUGGGGUGUUGGUGGAAAGCGUUAUGGAGUGGUUUUAGAUGGGCUCACGGCCUAUCAGCUUGUUGGUGAGGUAAUGGCUUACCAAGGCGACGACGGGUAGCCGGCCUGAGAGGGUGACCGGCCACACUGGGACUGAGACACGGCCCAGACUCCUACGGGAGGCAGCAGUGGGGAAUAUUGCACAAUGGGCGCAAGCCUGAUGCAGCGACGCCGCGUGAGGGAUGACGGCCUUCGGGUUGUAAACCUCUGUUAGCAUCGAAGAAGCGAAAGUGACGGUAGGUGCAGAGAAAGCGCCGGCUAACUACGUGCCAGCAGCCGCGGUAAUACGUAGGGCGCGAGCGUUGUCCGGAAUUAUUGGGCGUAAAGAGCUUGUAGGCGGUUGGUCGCGUCUGCUGUGAAAGGCUGGGGCUUAACCCUGGUUUUGCAGUGGGUACGGGCUAACUAGAGUGCAGUAGGGGAGACUGGAAUUCCUGGUGUAGCGGUGGAAUGCGCAGAUAUCAGGAGGAACACCGAUGGCGAAGGCAGGUCUCUGGGCUGUAACUGACGCUGAGAAGCGAAAGCAUGGGGAGCGAACAGGAUUAGAUACCCUGGUAGUCCAUGCCGUAAACGUUGGGCACUAGGUGUGGGGGACAUUCCACGUUUUCCGCGCCGUAGCUAACGCAUUAAGUGCCCCGCCUGGGGAGUACGGCCGCAAGGCUAAAACUCAAAGAAAUUGACGGGGGCCCGCACAAGCGGCGGAGCAUGCGGAUUAAUUCGAUGCAACGCGAAGAACCUUACCAAGGCUUGACAUAUACUGGACUGCGUCAGAGAUGGCGUUUCCCUUCGGGGCUGGUAUACAGGUGGUGCAUGGUUGUCGUCAGCUCGUGUCGUGAGAUGUUGGGUUAAGUCCCGCAACGAGCGCAACCCUCGUUCUAUGUUGCCAGCACGUGAUGGUGGGGACUCAUAGGAGACUGCCGGGGUCAAACUCGGAGGAAGGUGGGGAUGACGUCAAAUCAUCAUGCCCCUUAUGUCUUGGGCUUCACGCAUGCUACAAUGGCCGGUACAGAGGGUUGCGAUACUGUGAGGUGGAGCUAAUCCCUAAAAAGCCGGUCUCAGUUCGGAUUGGGGUUCUGCAAACUCGACCCCAUGAAAGUCGGAGUCGCUAGUAAUCGCAGAUCAGCAAACGCUGCGGUGAAAUACGUUUCCCGGGCCCUUGUACACACCGCCCGUCAAG
Molecule: ribosomal RNA, 1393 nt
Filed under: uncultured bacterium
Lineage: Bacteria
Description: bacterial SSU rRNA
Rfam family: Bacterial small subunit ribosomal RNA
Source: RNAcentral